This 466-nucleotide ribosomal RNA is filed under the name uncultured bacterium. RNAcentral's name for it is "partial 16S ribosomal RNA". It matches the Rfam family "Bacterial small subunit ribosomal RNA", at positions 28 to 507 of the family's 1533-position model. The record is from RNAcentral.
GAUGAACGCUGGCGGCGUGCUUAACACACGCAAGUCGAACGAUGAAGCCCAGCUUGCUGGGUGGAUUAGUGGCGAACGGGUGAGUAACACGUGAGUAACCUGCCCUUGACUCUGGGAUAAGCCUGGGAAACUGGGUCUAAUACUGGAUAUGACUUCUCAUCGCAUGGUGGGGGGUGGAAAGAUUUAUUGGUCUUGGAUGGACUCGCGGCCUAUCAGCUUGUUGGUGAGGUAAUGGCUCACCAAGGCGACGACGGGUAGCCGGCCUGAGAGGGUGACCGGCCACACUGGGACUGAGACACGGCCCAGACUCCUACGGGAGGCAGCAGUGGGGAAUAUUGCACAAUGGGCGCAAGCCUGAUGCAGCGACGCCGCGUGAGGGAUGACGGCCUUCGGGUUGUAAACCUCUUUCAGUAGGGAAGAAGCGAGAGUGACGGUACCUGCAGAAGAAGCGCCGGCUAACUACGUG